GACGAACGCUGGCGGUGUGCUUAACACAUGCAAGUCGAACGGUAAGGCCCUUUCGGGGGUACACGAGUGGCGCACGGGUGAGUAACACGUGAGUAACCUGCCCUCAUCUCUGGGAUAACAGUCGGAAACGGUUGCUAAUACUGGAUAUGAGCUUGCAAGGCAUCUUGUGGGUUGGAAAGAUUUUUUUGGUUGGGGAUGGACUCGCGGCCUAUCAGCUUGUUGGUGAGGUAGUGGCUCACCAAGGCUUCGACGGGUAGCCGGCCUGAGAGGGCGACCGGCCACAUUGGGACUGAGAUACGGCCCAAACUCCUACGGGAGGCAGCAGUGGGGAAUAUUGCACAAUGGACGGAAGUCUGAUGCAGCAACGCCGCGUGCGGGAGGACGGCCUUCGGGCUGUAAACCGCUUUCAAUUGUGACGAAGCUUUUUGUGACGGUAGCAGUAGAAGAAGCACCGGCUAACUACGUG
RNAcentral lists this ribosomal RNA (466 nucleotides) under uncultured bacterium. RNAcentral describes it as "partial 16S ribosomal RNA". It matches the Rfam family "Bacterial small subunit ribosomal RNA", at positions 28 to 507 of the family's 1533-position model. The record is from RNAcentral.